Molecule: long non-coding RNA, 541 nt
Organism: Brassica napus (rape)
Lineage: Eukaryota; Viridiplantae; Streptophyta; Magnoliopsida; Brassicales; Brassicaceae
Exons: 2
Source: RefSeq, a predicted model, not a curated record
AAAAUCUUGUUGUAUGAUCAUCAGGGUGUAUCUGAGUCUUCUCUCAUCAAUGAAGCUUUGCUUUGUUUGCUCAAACCCUCAGUGUAUUUCAGCAAGAUUUUGAAUGCGUCUUUGAACAAAGAUGCGGACAAGGGUACCAAGAAAUGGUUGACAAGAGUUUCGUUACGAGAGCAGAUCAUGGUGACAUGAAGGAGAUAGCAGAAGAGUAUAACCAGCUCUAUGGAGAGCCUUUGGCCCAAACAAUUCAAGAGAAGAUUAAAGGGAACUACAGAGAUUUCUUGCUCACACUACUAUCUAAAUCAAAUUGAUUUCGGUUCUGAACUUAUUCCCAGGACUUGUGGCUAUUGAACAUGUGAAUUUCUUUCGGUUUUAUGUUUCUAUCCCAACAUUUGCGUUUUCUAUACCCUUUUAUCAUAAUAUUUAAUAAUAAAGUCACUGUCUCUGGUGACAUUAUUCAAGAAGAGAAGAGUGUGUCAUGUUAAACUCUGUUUUCAUGUUUUAUGCUAGAAUGACAUAGUUACUUGAAUCAUAUUUAACUAAA